UCCGGGCUUGAAACCUCUAUUCGCAACACGGGAACGAAUCCCCCUGUGUCGCGUACUUCCCAGAAGAAAGUCACCCGGUUAAAUCGCGGUCCCCAGACGGCCGGCGAUAAUGCGUAGGGUAGCGAACCGUGAUCACGAAAUUAUGGAGCAUAAAGAAGUUAAUAGACGGCCUGGUCACGUAGAGUUGUAAAGCCCCAGAGCUUACCCUGGGUCUCCUUUCGAUAACGCGCAGAUUAGAUUUCGACAGGGGAGACUGAAUUCCCUGUGUAGCGGUGGAAUGCGCAGUAUAUCAGGAGAGAACACCGGUGGCGAAGGCGGGUUUCUGGCGCGAUACUGGCGUUGAGGAGCGAAAGCGUGGGGAGCGAACAAGAUUAGAUCCCCUGGUAGUUCACGCUGUAAGCGGUGCACACUAGGUGUGGGGGGCAUUACAUGUCGUCCGUGCCGUAGAUAACGCAUAAAGUGCCCCACGUGGGGAGUACGGCCGCAAGUCUAAAUCUCAAAGGAAUUGACGGGGGCCCGCACAAGCGGCGGAGCAUGUGGCUUAAUUAGACGCAACGCGAAGAACCUUCACAAGGCUUGACAUGCAUCGGAAACCACUGGAGACAGUGGCCCUCUUUGAGUCGGUGUACAGGUGGUGCAUGGCUGUUGUCAGCUCGUGUCGUGAGAUGUUGGGUUAAGUCCCGCAACGAGCGCAACCCUUGUCCUGUGUUGCCAGCAACCUCUUCGGAGGGUUGGGGACUCACGGGAGACUGCCGGGGUCAACUCGGAGGAAGGUGGGGACGACGUCAAGUCAUCAUGCCCCUUAUGUCUUGGGCUGCACACGUGCUACAAUGGCCGGUACAAUGAGCUGCGAUGCCGUAAGGUGGAGCGAAUCUCAAAAAGCCGGUCUCAGUUCGGAUUGGGGUCUGCAACUCGACCCCAUGAAGUCGGAGUCGCUAGUAAUCGCAGAUCAGCAUUGCUGCGGUGAAUACGUUCCCGGGCCUUGUACACACCGCCCGUCACGUCACGAAAGUCGGUAACACCCGAAGCCGGUGGCCUAACCCCUUGUGGGAGGGAGCUGUCGAAGGUGGGACUGGCGAUUGGACGAAGUCGAACAAGAGCCAGUCAGGG
This 1110-nucleotide ribosomal RNA is filed under the name Streptomyces sp. Its description in RNAcentral is "bacterial SSU rRNA". It matches the Rfam family "Bacterial small subunit ribosomal RNA". Lineage: Bacteria; Bacillati; Actinomycetota; Actinomycetes; Kitasatosporales; Streptomycetaceae. The record is from RNAcentral.